Molecule: long non-coding RNA, 642 nt
Organism: Ixodes scapularis (black-legged tick)
Lineage: Eukaryota; Metazoa; Arthropoda; Arachnida; Ixodida; Ixodidae
Exons: 4
Source: RefSeq, a predicted model, not a curated record
GCGUCUCAACACACCGGCCGGGCGUCCACUUACACGGGCAUGGUGGGAGGCCGCGGCGUCUCGGCGCAAGACAGGCAAUCACACACCGGCGACGAAGGAAGCGCGCCAGACGGUGUUUUGACCACGUCAGCAAGAGCAGCGCCGAGGAAGUCGGCAGCGCGCGCACACUCGCAGCUGUUCAAUCUUUCUUCGUUCCGCUGGCUGCCUUCGUAGCGUGCCCGGUAAGCCGACGACGCGCGUGCCACGGGUCCGGCUCGUCUCGCUCCAAACAAUGCCGCCCUUCAGGAAACUUUUCAUGAGCGCUGCCAUCUCUGCAUCACGUGACCCGUCCGCCAUUGUCUGCCUCUACUUUUCCGCUGUUGCACAUUGUAUAGCACUGCGUACACGGUGCUUCGCCAGCCAUUGCCGGGAUGCUAUAUACGAUGGAAUCGGACUGUGAAUAUGUCAACGACGCAAGAUCAUGGCCUAGAUUUUAGAGACCAUGAGCAGUGAAAGCAAAUGUUGAGUGCGCAAACAAAGCUGACGUGGAGACCGUCAUCAAAAUAUGGCUGCGCCACGCUGAAGAGAAACUGAAAAAGCUGCAGUCAAAGGCCGGAAAUGUUCGACAUAAUGAUCCCGCUGACUAUUCGGACUAGUGCUGGC